RNAcentral lists this ribosomal RNA (272 nucleotides) under Verrucaria funckii. RNAcentral describes it as "partial 18S small subunit ribosomal RNA". The record is from RNAcentral. Lineage: Eukaryota; Fungi; Ascomycota; Eurotiomycetes; Verrucariales; Verrucariaceae.
AAAAGUCGUAACAAGGUUUCGUCAAAGAUCCUUCUUGGAAGCCUCCCGCACAGCGACUAUAACCACGUGCAUAGUCUAGUUAGGUCUAGGCGACGUCGCCCCUGUGCUGGAACCCUGUCAUCGUGAUAGCGGACCAGCAGCCAGGUUCCCUGGUUCACAGAUUAGGUGGUGGCGGUCCCAAAUUUCCCCUGGGAUCAAGAUAUAAUCGGUCUCCACAGUCGGUGGCUGUGGUUGAGAAACGUUCCGUAGGUGAACCUGCGGAAGGAUCAUUA